RNAcentral lists this ribosomal RNA (433 nucleotides) under uncultured bacterium. Its description in RNAcentral is "partial 16S ribosomal RNA". It matches the Rfam family "Bacterial small subunit ribosomal RNA", at positions 29 to 507 of the family's 1533-position model. The record is from RNAcentral.
AACGAACGCUGGCGGCAUGCCUAACACAUGCAAGUCGAACGAAACCUUCAGGUCUAGUGGCGCACGGGUGCGUAACGCGUGGGAACCUGCCCUUAGGUUCGGCAUAACUCCCCGACAGGGGUGCUAAUACCGGAUCAUAUCUUCGGCCCAAUGAUUUAUCGCCUUUGGAUGGGCCCGCGUUGGAUUAGCUAGUUGGUAGGGUAAAAGCCUACCAAGGCGACCAUCCAUAGCUGGUUUGAGAGGAUGAUCAGCCACACCGGGACUGAGACACGGCCCAGAAUCCUACGGGAGGCAGGAGUGGCGAAUAUUGGAAAAUCGGGUAAAGCCUGAUCCAGCAAUGCCGCGAGAGUGAUGAAGGCCUUAGGGUUGUAAAGCUCUUUUACCCGGGAUGAUAAUGACAGUACCGGGAGAAUAAGCUCCGGCUAACUCCGUG